GUGCUAACCUCGAGUACAUACACUAAAAUUGGAAUAAUAUAGAGAAGAUUAUCAUGGUACCUAUGCAAGGAUAACACACAAACUCAUGAAGCAUUCCCCAUUUUU
Bison bison bison is the source of this 105-nucleotide small nuclear RNA. The record is from Ensembl. Lineage: Eukaryota; Metazoa; Chordata; Mammalia; Artiodactyla; Bovidae.